This 253-nucleotide ribosomal RNA is filed under the name uncultured bacterium. RNAcentral's name for it is "partial 16S ribosomal RNA". It matches the Rfam family "Bacterial small subunit ribosomal RNA", at positions 524 to 776 of the family's 1533-position model. The record is from RNAcentral.
UACGUAGGGUGCAAGCGUUACUCGGAAUUACUGGGCGUAAAGCGUGCGCAGGCGGUUCGGAAAGAAAGAUGUGAAAUCCCAGAGCUUAACUUUGGAACUGCAUUUUUAACUACCGAGCUAGAGUGUGUCAGAGGGAGGUGGAAUUCCGCGUGUAGCAGUGAAAUGCGUAGAUAUGCGGAGGAACACCGAUGGCGAAGGCAGCCUCCUGGGAUAACACUGACGCUCAUGCACGAAAGCGUGGGGAGCAAACAGG